GACGAAGGGGGCUAGCGUUGUUCGGAAUUACUGGGCGUAAAGAGCGCGUAGGCGGUUUGAUAAGUUGGGAGUGAAAUCCCGAGGCUUAACCUCGGAACUGCUCUCAAAACUGUCGAUCUAGAGUGUAGUAGGGGAUGAUGGGAUUCCUAGUGUAGAGGUGAAAUUCUUAGAUAUUAGGAGGAACACCGGUGGCGAAGGCGGUCAUCUGGGCUACAACUGACGCUGAGGCGCGAAAGCGUGGGGAGCAAACAGG
Molecule: ribosomal RNA, 253 nt
Filed under: uncultured bacterium
Lineage: Bacteria
Description: partial 16S ribosomal RNA
Rfam family: Bacterial small subunit ribosomal RNA
Source: RNAcentral